GACGAACGCUGGCGGCGUGCCUAACACAUGCAAGUCGAACGGAGAUACGAUUUCGGUUGUAUCUUAGUGGCGAACGGGGUGAGUAACGCGUGAGCAACCUGACCUUUAGAGGGGGGAUAACACUUGGAAACAGGUGCUAAUACCGCAUAAGACCACGACCUGACAUCAGGAUGAGGUCAAAGGAGAAAUCCGCUAGAGGAGGGGCUCGCGUCCCAUUAGAUAGAUGGCGGGGUAACGGCCCACCAUGUCGACGAUGGGUAGCCGAGCUGAGAGGCUGAUCGGCCACACUGGAACUGAGACACGGUCCCAGACUCCUACGGAGGCAGCAGUGGGGAAUAUUGGGCAAUGGGCGCAAGCCUGACCCAGCAACGCCGCGUGAGGGAAGAAGGCCUCGGGUUGUAAACC
RNAcentral lists this ribosomal RNA (405 nucleotides) under uncultured bacterium. Its description in RNAcentral is "bacterial SSU rRNA". It matches the Rfam family "Bacterial small subunit ribosomal RNA", at positions 28 to 431 of the family's 1533-position model. The record is from RNAcentral.